Molecule: long non-coding RNA, 2847 nt
Organism: Chionomys nivalis (European snow vole)
Lineage: Eukaryota; Metazoa; Chordata; Mammalia; Rodentia; Cricetidae
Exons: 3
Source: RefSeq, a predicted model, not a curated record
UAGAGGACUCAGUGAGAAGGGACAGAAAUGGCCCUAAGCACUCGGUGCCAACUGUCUCUGCUUCCACGUGUUCUCCAAACAAUCCCACUGCCUCUGGCUAACAAAACACGUGGAAGAAGGGAGCAAAGAGUCUGCAGGUCUCCCCAAGACUGGAGCUGGCAGCUGAGAGGAGCCAUGAUCCAAGUCCACACUCCAAACAGCCCUCCACCACACCCUGACCCUAUGUUUUCUCAAGAUUAGAAAAUGCAAUCAGAAAAACAGUUUGCCAGAACGGCUCUACUAGACUGGUCCCUCAGGAACAUGGCUCAGGCCCUGCCCAUAUCUACUUCCCAUUAGAGGAGACUUGCUUUGAAGCCAGCCAAGGCCAACCACCCAGAAGGAAAGGUAUCAGCCAGGGUGGGUUGGGGGGCGUCACCUCACUGACUUUGGUUUCCCCCAAAUUGACCUGAGUCUGCACAGACGGAUUUAAUGCUGACCGACAUGAGGCUGAAGUAGCGAGGCGGUUAUACACAGAGGUAUAUAACCUCAGGUAAGGAGCCUGAUCAGAGUGGCAUGUGUGGAUUACUGCGUGGUGUCAGCUGUAUCCUCCUUCCUGACGGCAGACAAAAUGGUCCCCUUCCUGGGAGUGGCUAUGCGGGUUGGCAGGCAGAGAGAGUAUCAAUAGCAGAGAUGUUUUAAAAGACCCACCCAGUGUCUUUGGGGCUUUCCAACACAAAAAGGUGUGUUUCAGUGCAGAUUCCCUAGCUGGGUCAUGGCUGGAUCUCGGUCCUGGUCUUCCCUGUGGACAGUGGCUGUCCAAGAGAAGGAUCUCCUCAAGGCUACAGAACCCAAAGCCAGAGGGCACGGAGAGUCCCAGGGCAGGCCUGAGAACCCCAGGUAAGAAGAUCUCCUCUCCAGAGCUGGGUCACUUUUAGAACCACUGGAGCUGUGGCUGGGAGAACUCAGACUACACUGAGACCCAGGGACCUCUGUACACCUCCAUCCUUUCUCCUGCCACCCUGUACUUCCAGGUAAGUCUAAUGGUUUGCACCGACUUCCUGCCUAGCCUUUGCCCUGGGGACUUAAUGUUCCUAUGAGAUGGGCACUUGGACCAUGUCUCUCCCCAUGAACGGCAGCCACCUGUGCCAGCCUCUGAGCCAGUUCUCAGCACACGCCCUCCUCCUAGAUCGGCAGACAGGUGUAAAGGCACAGGGCAGUGAGGGUGGAGCGCGACAGUCGCGUCUUCCUUGUCAGGUCGUCUGCUUGCAUGUUUCUGUUUGAUGGCUGCUGUCCUCCCAACUCCCCAAAGCCCAGAAGAAUAGGAGAUGGAAAGACCUGCUGGCAUCAUAAGCCUGCUGGUCAGCUUCAGGGGAAAGCAAACAUCGCCUGGUGACAGGGACAAGCCACACACACAAGCAGGGACACUGGAGUCAAUGCCCUCCAUCCCAGUGCAUAGCCCUCAGAACCUGGGGAAGUCUGUGGAGGUAGGAGGCAGAGGGACGGAGGACAAGGGCAGAGGGGGAGCUUGAGGGGAGCAGGGACUAUUUCUACCAACUCAUCAGUCACUAGGAAUGGUAGGAGGGUCUUGCUCCCAGGGUAGCACUGGUGAGCAAAGUGGGGAGGCCUGAAAGAAGUCAGAGGCACUAGAUCAAAGAGGGGGUUCUGGAAGGAGCGCAUGAUAUAACAUUAUAAACAACCAAAGUGGUGUACACACGGCAGUAUACGUGCACACAGAGGUUCUCUCCAUAUCCAUGGAUACGCAUCUAGCUGUGUUCUCAGAGGAUUAGAUGAGCCACUGAGUACUCAGAUCUGUUUCUAAACAUGAUUCUCAACCAGGAAGAAUCAGAAAUCCUUGAAGGGGUCGCUGAGUCCUAGCCUAAAGCCAGAAAAAUACUGAAAAAGCUGAGGCAUUGUGCUGUGCCAGGAGGGAAGGGGGUGGUCGAAGGAUGGUGGAGAAGUAUCCCAUGGCGGCCACCAGCCAAACCUACAGUGAUGUGAGCGUGAAAAUAACUAGGAAGAGGCAAAUCAUGACCUGUGGGCUUAAGGAACUGGGACCCGGUGAUAACAUAGAUAUGUGAAUGAAGUAGAUUAAAGGCCAGUACAGCUCCUAAGAAUGCACUGCCACCUAGAAGGACAGAGCAGAGCAUCACAGCAUCUCUCCUGUGGCGCGCAGGGGCGGGGGGUGCUGGCUCGUUUGGUACUUGCUAUAGUGACCAGGCUGGCCUCAAACCUGCAGCCAUUUUCCUGUCUCUGCCUCCCAAGUACUGGGAUUAUAGGCAUGAGCCAUCAUGCCAAGCUACUAACUGGCAUCUCUGUGUGAGACACAGGAAAGAAUCAACAGAUGCAGAGGCUGAAGAUGAGAAAACUGUUGUGACAUCAUACUGAAAGGCAUACAGAGGGGAGAAGACAGGAGACCUGACGAGGAGUCCAGAGGGCUCCUAGAGAGGACCUGAACCAGAGUCAGGACAGCUGGCAAAACAUGAUGUGACCAGAGUGCCAUGCCACCAGAAGUUCCUGUUUGACUCUGACAUCCAGCCUCAACUUUCUCACAUGUUGCUCUUGUGGCAAGACAAGGGCAUUUCUGCUGGAUCACCUGUUCUGCCCUGCCCGUCUCCACCCGACUCGGGAUCUGCUCCUCACAGGCCCUCACAGCUGAGCAGAUGAGCAGCCGAAUCCCUUGCCUUCCCUAGCCCCAGUAGAAGCUGGCCCUGCCCUACGUCUGAGGUGCCCUAUGCUGCCAGCACCCAGGCUCCUGUCAUCCGUGCCACCCCGGACUCUCCCCAGAUCCAGCAGAGGACCGAAGAAGGUGCUGCAUACAUGGCAUUGGCGGUGACCAGAAGGUCAGCGUUGUCAAAGAGGGUGACGCCG